UUAAGCCAUGCAAGUCGAACGAGUUUAGGCUCGUGGCGUACGGCUCAGUAACACGCGGAUAAUCUACCCUUAGGACCGGGAUAACCCUGGGAAACUGGGGAUAAUACUGGAUAGGCAAUUAUUCCUGUAAUGGUUUUUUGUUUAAAUGUUUUUUCGCCUAAGGAUGAGUCUGCGGCCGAUUAGGUAGUUGGUUAGGUAAUGGCUUACCAAGCCGUUGAUCGGUACGGGUUGUGAGAGCAAGAGCCCGGAGAUGGAACCUGAGACAAGGUUCCAGGCCCUACGGGGUGCAGCAGGCGCGAAACCUCCGCAAUGUGAGAAAUCGCGACGGGGGGAUCCCAAGUGCCAUUCUUAACGGGAUGGCUUUUCAUUAGUGUAAAGAGCUUUUGGAAUAAGGGCUGGGCAAGACCGGUGCCAGCCGCCGCGGUAACACCGGCAGCUCUAGUGGUAGCAGUUUUUAUUGGGCCUAAAGCGUCCGUAGCCGGUUUAAUAAGUCUCUGGUGAAAUCCUGUAGCUUAACUGUGGGAAUUGCUGGAGAUAUUAUUAGACUUGAGACCGGGAGAGGUUAGAGGUACUCCCAGGGUAGAGGUGAAAUUCUGUAAUCCUGGGAGGACCGCCUGUUGCGAAGGCGUCUAACUGGAACGGUUCUGACGGUGAGGGACGAAAGUUAGGGGCGCGAACCGGAUUAGAUACCCGGGUAGUCCUAACUGUAAACGAUGCGGACUUGGUGUUGGGGUGGCUUUGAGCUGCUCCAGUGCCGAAGGGAAGCUGUUAAGUCCGCCGCCUGGGAAGUACGGUCGCAAGACUGAAACUUAAAGGAAUUGGCGGGGGAGCACCACAACGCGUGGAGCCUGCGGUUUAAUUGGAUUCAACGCCGGACAUCUCACCAGAGGCGACAGCUGUAUGAUAGCCAGGUUGAUGACUUUGCUUGACUAGCUGAGAGGAGGUGCAUGGCCA
RNAcentral lists this ribosomal RNA (954 nucleotides) under uncultured Methanobrevibacter sp. RNAcentral's name for it is "bacterial SSU rRNA". It matches the Rfam family "Archaeal small subunit ribosomal RNA", at positions 44 to 1000 of the family's 1478-position model. Lineage: Archaea; Methanobacteriati; Methanobacteriota; Methanobacteria; Methanobacteriales; Methanobacteriaceae. The record is from RNAcentral.